RNAcentral lists this ribosomal RNA (200 nucleotides) under uncultured bacterium. RNAcentral's name for it is "partial 16S ribosomal RNA". It matches the Rfam family "Bacterial small subunit ribosomal RNA", at positions 29 to 258 of the family's 1533-position model. The record is from RNAcentral.
AGCGAACGCUGGCGGCAGGCCUAACACAUGCAAGUCAACGGACCCUUCGGGGUUAGUGGCGGACGGGUGAGUAACACUGGGAACGUGCCUUUAGGUUCGGAAUAGCUCCUGGAAACGGGUGGUAAUGCCGAAUGUGCCCCUCGGGGGAAAGAUUUAUCGCCUUUAGAGCGGCCCGCGUCUGAUUAGCUUGUUGGUGAGGU